Molecule: small nuclear RNA, 107 nt
Organism: Tachyglossus aculeatus (Australian echidna)
Lineage: Eukaryota; Metazoa; Chordata; Mammalia; Monotremata; Tachyglossidae
Source: RefSeq, a predicted model, not a curated record
GUGCUCGCUUCAACAGGACAAAUACUCAAAUUGGAACGAUACAGAGAAGAUUAGCAUGGCCUUUGUUCAAGGAUGAAAUGCAAAUGUGUGAAGUGUCUCAUAUUUUC